Long non-coding RNA from Cygnus olor (mute swan), 2305 nucleotides. RefSeq lists it as uncharacterized. The record is from RefSeq and is a predicted model, not a curated record. NCBI's taxonomy places the organism in Eukaryota, Metazoa, Chordata, Aves, Anseriformes, Anatidae. The transcript is spliced from 4 exons.
UAAACCACUGCCUCAUACCUCUGGUUGAGAUCUAAUGCUCUGCAUUAAAAAAAGAAACAGUUAACUGAAAUACCACCUCAUUUUUACAGUCAGGAAAUAUCUUGCAAUUAUUGCCAUUGUCAAAAAUGAUUUUAGCUUAAACUAUGCUACUGUAGCACAGGACAUAAAAAAGGAAAGGAUUUACUGCCGAAUGCUAAGUCAUGCUUUAUUUUAGUAUGUAAGGAGCUAAUAUAGCAAUGUAAUAUAGAGAACAUAGAUCCAAAUAAAAGUUCACGUGUUCCUGCCAACUCCAAGCAAUUUAGUUUUGUGACUCAGGCAGCAUAAUUGUGAAAUUGGCUCAGAACUCAUUACAUUGUUUUAUCUGUUUGUAUUUUUAAAUGCAUGCUUCAGGUUCAUUUCAUUUGCCUUAAGACUCUAAGGUUCAUCUCAGCUGCAUAUUGAAGGCUUUUGUGUGUGUGUGUAACCCUACGGUCUAUGAGGCUACUUCUUAUUGCUGAGAGCAGAGAUUCUCUCACAAUUGUUUGUCAGACUGGGACUGUGAAACAUUAAAUGCCCCCAAAAUACUCACAAUAAAAUAAAGGGGAUACCGUAAGCCUGAACACAGGCACAUUGUGGCUCUGCCCCAUCCAGCUACCCACACUCUGCGGAGGAUACAGGAUAAAUGAAAGGGAUGUGCAAAAUACCUUGUGUGUUUCCUGAGAUGACACUAGAUUUUGCUCAGUUUGUCUCCAAAUCCAGAGACAAAAAAGAUGUGAAAUUCUAAAACACUGAUUACAAUGAGGAGACAAUUUUGUAUCGUGUUAGGGUGCAUUUCAUAAGACAGUUUCUGAGACUGCGUGCUGGUGCUGAGUGUUUUCGAAUGUAAAUCUGAUCACAGGCUGCAGCCCAUGUGGUGUAUAAACAAGCCAUAUUUUUAAACACAGUGUGAAAUGUGGGGGCUGACGUGACCAUUAUCAGAGCCUCAUACAUGACUUAUGAGACAUCAUAAAAUAUUUUCAUGUUGCAACAAUGAAAACUGAAGCUACUCAGUGGUAGGCUUGUUUGAUCUGAUAGCUGCCCCGGCUCCCUUCACUGGGUGAAGGGAAGAAUGUUAUUCAAAGGCUAUCCUUCUGAAUGCUAAGUUGUUUUCUCAUAAAUUUCUUACAAAGAAAGAACAUCUUAAAAGGUUUCUUACAGAAUGACUGAUGAAGAAUAGACCACUAAGACAAUGGAAGUGACAUUUCCAGGGAUUUGGGGCCAUUCCACCUUGCCCAUGAAGCAACUCAGCUAGACACCUUAAUCAGGCUGGAACAGAGUUGCGAAGGUGACUACUGAAAAGCCAUCCCCACUCCUGUGCACUGUGACCUCUGCCUUGCAGGUUUAUAGGACUUUUAUGACUUAACCAGCGGACUGUAAAAUACACAUUUAAAUGCAUUCAACUCAGAUAACAAUCUCAUCAUUAAAACAGCCUAGCUUCUCUGUUUGAAGUUAAUCACUCUCAAAUUCUUCUGGAUUCAUCAGCACACUUACCAAUACCUGUUUUUUCUCCCUAAAGUUGGCACUGUAACAUGACACAAAGACCUUCAGCUCUUAGAAAAUAGCAUAAAAGACUGCAAAUCUUAUUGAAAAUUCUCUUCAUCUUUAGAGAAAAAUCUACAGAAAAGUCAAAUCCCAAUUUGAAUUCAGGACAUCUUCAAACAUUAAAAAUUAAUCACGUUCUGAGAUCCAGGUGAAAGGAUGACUGCUUUUCAUGUUUUAUUAUGCUAAAAAUACAGUUGAGCAGCGAGCACAAUGUGGUAACAUUGCACAGGCAGCAAAAUACCAAAAUAACACCAAGGACAGGAGACUGUUUUAAUGUACUUUCUGGCAUGAACUGAGGACGGAGUGUGGCUGGAAGCAGAGUGACGCUGCUUCGGGCAGGCACCUCCCGUUAAUCUCGUUAGGCGCACGCUGCGGGUUCACUCGGGCCCUCACGGAAAGCAAGAGCAGAAAUCCCACUGUUCUCAGCAGCCCAGAACAUAUCAAAAGCUAUAUCUGCCAUUCUAGUGCAUUAAAUCCUAGUUAAAUGAAGGAAAAUGAACCAAACUUCAGGGAAUUUACGUCAGAGCAGCUGUUUGCGUGCAUCUUCUGCUGGUCUUAACUCUCACACUUUGGGUUUUCCUGUUAGCAUUCACAAUAACGUCAUUGCAUCAUAGUCCUAGUGUUUAAUAUUCCCUCUUUCAAAAUAUGAAGUUGCAGCUGACUCCCUGUAUCCUUCUGGGAUAAAUGCAGAAAAAGCUUAACUUAACAGCUGCUAUAUAUUAUUAUUAUUACCUAUUACAUCAUA